AACACGUACACAACCUUCCUUUUAGUGGGGAAUAGCCCAGAGAAAUUUGGAUUAAUACCCCGUAACAUAACGAUGUGGCAUCACAUUGUUAUUAUAGCUUCGGCGCUAGAUGAUGGGUGUGCGUAUGAUUAGAUAGUUGGCGAGGUAACGGCUCACCAAGUCUACGAUCAUUAGCUGAUGUGAGAGCAUGAUCAGCCACACGGGCACUGAGACACGGGCCCGACUCCUACGGGAGGCAGCAGUAAGGAAUAUUGGUCAAUGGACGCAAGUCUGAACCAGCUAUGCCGCGUGAAGGAUUAAGGUCCUCUGGAUUGUAAACUUCUUUUAUCUGGGACGAAAAAAGGUCUUUCUAGAUCACUUGACGGUACCAGAUGAAUAAGCACCGGCUAACUCCGUGCCAGCAGCCGCGGUAAUACGGAGGGUGCAAGCGUUAUCCGGAUUCACUGGGUUUAAAGGGUGCGUAGGCGGGCAGGUAAGUCAGUGGUGAAAUCCUGGAGCUCAACUCCAGAACUGCCAUUGAUACUAUCUGUCUUGAAUAUUGUGGAGGUAAGCGGAAUAUGUCAUGUAGCGGUGAAAUGCUUAGAUAUGACAUAGAACACCCAUUGCGAAGGCAGCUUACUACGCAUAUAUUGACGCUGAGGCA
Molecule: ribosomal RNA, 643 nt
Filed under: uncultured Bacteroidota bacterium
Lineage: Bacteria; Pseudomonadati; Bacteroidota
Description: bacterial SSU rRNA
Rfam family: Bacterial small subunit ribosomal RNA
Source: RNAcentral